This 468-nucleotide ribosomal RNA is filed under the name uncultured bacterium. RNAcentral's name for it is "partial 16S ribosomal RNA". It matches the Rfam family "Bacterial small subunit ribosomal RNA", at positions 28 to 507 of the family's 1533-position model. The record is from RNAcentral.
GACGAACGCUGGCGGCGUGCUUAACACAUGCAAGUCGAACGGAAAGGCCCUGCUUUUGUGGGGUGCUCGAGUGGCGAACGGGUGAGUAACACGUGAGUAACCUGCCCUUGACUUUGGGAUAACUUCAGGAAACUGGGGCUAAUACCGGAUAGGAGCUCCUGCUGCAUGGUGGGGGUUGGAAAGUUUCGGCGGUUGGGGAUGGACUCGCGGCUUAUCAGCUUGUUGGUGGGGUAGUGGCUUACCAAGGCUUUGACGGGUAGCCGGCCUGAGAGGGUGACCGGCCACAUUGGGACUGCGAUACGGCCCAGACUCCUACGGGAGGCAGAAGUGGGGAAUAUUGCACAAUGGGCGGAAGCCUGAUGCAGCGACGCCGCGUGCGGGAUGACGGCCUUCGGGUUGUGAACCGCUUUCGCCUGUGACGAAGCGUGAGUGACGGUAAUGGGUAAAGAAGCACCGGCUAACUACGUG